Molecule: ribosomal RNA, 451 nt
Filed under: uncultured bacterium
Lineage: Bacteria
Description: partial 16S ribosomal RNA
Rfam family: Bacterial small subunit ribosomal RNA
Source: RNAcentral
GUGGGGAAUAUUGGACAAUGGGGGGAACCCUGAUCCAGCCAUGCCGCGUGUGUGAAGAAGGCCUUAUGGUUGUAAAGCACUUUAAGCGAGGAGGAGGCUCCCGUAGCUAAUAUCUACGGAGAGUGGACGUUACUCGCAGAAUAAGCACCGGCUAACUCUGUGCCAGCAGCCGCGGUAAUACAGAGGGUGCGAGCGUUAAUCGGAUUUACUGGGCGUAAAGCGUGCGUAGGCGGCUUUUUAAGUCGGAUGUGAAAUCCCCGAGCUUAACUUGGGAAUUGCAUUCGAUACUGGGAAGCUAGAGUAUGGGAGAGGAUGGUAGAAUUCCAGGUGUAGCGGUGAAAUGCGUAGAGAUCUGGAGGAAUACCGAUGGCGAAGGCAGCCAUCUGGCCUAAUACUGACGCUGAGGUACGAAAGCAUGGGGAGCAAACAGGAUUAGAAACCCCAGUAGUCC